RNAcentral lists this ribosomal RNA (638 nucleotides) under uncultured marine eukaryote. RNAcentral's name for it is "SSU rRNA". It matches the Rfam family "Eukaryotic small subunit ribosomal RNA", at positions 617 to 1261 of the family's 1831-position model. The record is from RNAcentral.
AGUUAAAAAGCUCGUAAUUGGAUUUCGGAACCGGCCGAUUGGUCCGUCCUCUGGAUCGUGUACUGAUCGGUCUGUUCUUCUUCGCGAAGACCGCGUGUGCUCUUAACUGAGUGGGCGUGGGAUUCGCGUCGUUUACUUUGAAAAAAUUAGAGUGUUCAAAGCAGGCAGUCGCUUGAAUAUCUCAGCAUGGAAUAAUAGAAUAGGACUUUGGUCUUAUUUUGUUGGUUUCCGAGACCGAAGUAAUGAUUAAUAGGGACAGUUGGGGGCAUUCGUAUUUCAUUGUCAGAGGUGAAAUUCUUGGAUUUAUGAAAGACGAACUUCUGCGAAAGCAUUUGCCAAGGAUGUUUUCAUUAAUCAAGAACGAAAGUUGGAGGCUCGAAGACGAUCAGAUACCGUCCUAGUUCCAACCAUAAACGAUGCCGUCUGCGGAUCGGAGGUCGCUCAUGUAAGGCUCCUUCGGCACGCUAUGAGAAAUCAAAGACUUCGGGUUCCGGGGGGAGUAUGUUCGCAAGAAUGAAACUUAAAGGAAUUGACGGAAGGGCACCACCAGGAGUGGAACCUGCGGUUUAAUUUGACUCAACACGGGAAAACUCACCAGGUCCAGACAUAGGAAGGAUUGACAGAUUGAGAGCUCUUUC